RNAcentral lists this ribosomal RNA (428 nucleotides) under uncultured bacterium. RNAcentral describes it as "partial 16S ribosomal RNA". It matches the Rfam family "Bacterial small subunit ribosomal RNA", at positions 354 to 796 of the family's 1533-position model. The record is from RNAcentral.
GUGGGGAAUAUUGCACAAUGGAGGGAACUCUGAUGCAGCAACGCCGCGUGAAGGAAGAAGGUUUUCGGAUCGUAAACUUCUAUCAACAGGGACGAAAAAAAUGACGGUACCUGAAUAAGAAGCCCCGGCUAACUACGUGCCAGCAGCCGCGGUAAUACGUAGGGGGCAAGCGUUAUCCGGAAUUACUGGGUGUAAAGGGAGAGUAGGCGGCAUGACAAGCAAGAUGAGAAAGCCCGGGGCUUAACCGCGGGACUGCAUAAUGAACUGUCAGGCUAGAGUACAGGAGAGGUAAGCGGAAUUCCUAGUGUAGCGGUGAAAUGCGUAGAUAUUAGGAAGAACACCGGUGGCGAAGGCGGCUUACUGGACUGAAACUGACGCUGAGGCUCGAAAGCGUGGGGAGCGAACAGGAUUAGAUACCCGGGUAGUCC